GUGACUGAGUGGCGGACGGGUGAGUAACGCGUGGGUAACCUGCCUCAUACAGGGGGAUAACAGUUAGAAAUGGCUGCUAAUACUGCAUAAGCACACAGUGUUGCAUGACACAGUGUGAAAAACUCCGGUGGUAUGAGAUGGACCCGCGUCUGAUUAGCUAGUUGGUGGGGUAACGGCCUACCAAGGCGACGAUCAGUAGCCGACCUGAGAGGGUGACCGGCCACAUUGGGACUGAGACACGGCCCAAACUCCUACGGGAGGCAGCAGUGGGGAAUAUUGCACAAUGGGGGAAACCCCUGAUGCAGCGACGCCGCGUGAGCGAAGAAGUAUUUCGGUAUGUAAAGCUCUAUCAGCAGGGAAGAAAAUGACGGUACCUGACUAAGAAAGCCCGGCUAACUACGUGCCAGCAGCCGCGGUAAUACGUAGGGGGCAAGCGUUAUCCGGAUUUACUGGGUGUAAAGGGAGCGUAGACGGAUGUGCAAGUCUGAAGUGAAAGCCCGGGGCUCAACCCCGGGACUGCUUUGGAAACUGUGUAUCUGGAGUGCCGGAGAGGUAAGCGGAAUUCCCAGUGUAGCGGUGAAAUGCGUAGAUACUUGGGAGGAACACCAGUGGCGAAGGC
RNAcentral lists this ribosomal RNA (619 nucleotides) under uncultured Lachnospiraceae bacterium. Its description in RNAcentral is "bacterial SSU rRNA". It matches the Rfam family "Bacterial small subunit ribosomal RNA", at positions 87 to 722 of the family's 1533-position model. Lineage: Bacteria; Bacillati; Bacillota; Clostridia; Lachnospirales; Lachnospiraceae. The record is from RNAcentral.